This 117-nucleotide small nucleolar RNA is filed under the name Cervus elaphus hippelaphus. Its description in RNAcentral is "Small nucleolar RNA SNORA70". It matches the Rfam family "Small nucleolar RNA SNORA70", at positions 18 to 135 of the family's 135-position model. From Rfam's summary of the family: snoRNA U70 seems to be exclusive to mammals and is a member of the H/ACA class of snoRNA which contain H (ANANNA) and ACA box motifs. The record is from Rfam by way of RNAcentral. Lineage: Eukaryota; Metazoa; Chordata; Mammalia; Artiodactyla; Cervidae. RNAcentral also lists the same sequence under 1 other name.
GUUCAAGUAAGAAAACCAGUGAGGCCUGGAGUGCAAUGGCUGCGAACAGCAGCCUCCUGGGCAGUUGGAGGCACCUGUUGCUUGUCUGGGCUGCCCAAGGGGACCUGGGAGACAGUC